CCUACGGGGGGCAGCAGUGAGGAAUAUUGGUCAAUGGGCGGGAGCCUGAACCAGCCAAGUCGCGUGAGGGAAGACGGUCCUAUGGAUUGUAAACCUCUUUAGGCGGGGAGCAAUGCCGGGCACGCGUGCCCGGAGGGAGAGUACCCGCAGAAUAAGCAUCGGCUAACUCCGUGCCAGCAGCCGCGGUAAUACGGAGGAUGCGAGCGUUAUCCGGAUUUAUUGGGUUUAAAGGGGGCGUAGGCGGAUGUUCAAGUCGGCGGUAAAAUGUCCGGGCUCAACCCGGGCCUGCCGUUGAAACUGGGGAGCUUGAGUGAGCGAGAAGUAUGCGGAAUGCGUGGUGUAGCGGUGAAAUGCGUAGAUAUCACGAAGAACUCCGAUUGCGAAGGCAGCAUACCGGCGCGCGACUGACGCUGAGGCACGAAAGCGUGGGGAUCGAACAGGAUUAGAUACCCGAGUAGUC
Molecule: ribosomal RNA, 460 nt
Filed under: uncultured bacterium
Lineage: Bacteria
Description: partial 16S ribosomal RNA
Rfam family: Bacterial small subunit ribosomal RNA
Source: RNAcentral